RNAcentral lists this ribosomal RNA (402 nucleotides) under uncultured bacterium. RNAcentral's name for it is "bacterial SSU rRNA". It matches the Rfam family "Bacterial small subunit ribosomal RNA", at positions 355 to 774 of the family's 1533-position model. The record is from RNAcentral.
UAAGGAAUAUUGGACAAUGGGCGCAAGCCUGAUCCAGCCAUGCCGCGUGAGUGAUGAAGGCCCUAGGGUUGUAAAGCUCUUUUGUGCGGGAAGAUAAUGACGGUACCGCAUGAAUAAGCACCGGCUAACUCCGUGCCAGCAGCCGCGGUAAUACGGAGGGUGCGAGCGUUAUCCGGAUUCACUGGGUUUAAAGGGUGCGUAGGUGGGUUGCCAAGUCCGUGGUGAAAUCUCUGAGCUUAACUCAGAAACUGCCGUGGAUACUGGUGAUCUUGAAUAUCGUUGAGGUAAGCGGAAUAUGUCAUGUAGCGGUGAAAUGCUUAGAUAUGACAUAGAACACCGAUAGCGGAGGCAGCUUACUAAGCGAUCAUUGACGCUGAGGCACGAAAGCGUGGGGAGCAAACA